ACAAAGAGUAGGAGAAGAACCACAGACAGAGAUUAUCUGCCAAUCUAGAAAGAAUCUGGAGGAGAAAGAGUUACUAGGGAUAAAUAGAGCAAGCUUGAUGUCACCAACUUUUGGUCUCCUGCAUUCCUUUUCUCUGUGUGUCUGAGAAAGAGUUCAGGUCAGUUCAGGUCACAGGGGGCCUCUGUAUAUUCUGCUGUCGAGUUUUACAGAUUGGACAGGUGUCCCUCCCCUGUAAAAUCAAC
This is a long non-coding RNA of Phyllostomus discolor (pale spear-nosed bat), 242 nucleotides long. RefSeq lists it as uncharacterized. The record is from RefSeq and is a predicted model, not a curated record. The transcript is spliced from 3 exons. NCBI's taxonomy places the organism in Eukaryota, Metazoa, Chordata, Mammalia, Chiroptera, Phyllostomidae.